UCUUUCUUUGUCUGGCGACCGGCGCACGGUGAGUAACACGUAUCCAACCUGCCCUUUACUCGGGAUAGCCUUUCGAAAGAAAGAUUAAUACCCGAUAGCAUAAUGAUUCCGCAUGGUUUCAUUAUUAAAGGAUUCGGUAAAGGAUGGGGAUGCGUUCCAUUAGGUUGUUGGUGAGGUAACGGCUCACCAAGCCUUCGAUGGAUAGGGGUUCUGAGAGGAAGGUCCCCCACAUUGGAACUGAGACACGGUCCAAACUCCUACGGGAGGCAGCAUG
This 274-nucleotide ribosomal RNA is filed under the name uncultured bacterium. Its description in RNAcentral is "partial 16S ribosomal RNA". It matches the Rfam family "Bacterial small subunit ribosomal RNA", at positions 79 to 353 of the family's 1533-position model. The record is from RNAcentral.